RNAcentral lists this long non-coding RNA (105 nucleotides) under Numida meleagris (helmeted guineafowl). RNAcentral describes it as "lncRNA (ENSNMEG00000000638.1)". Lineage: Eukaryota; Metazoa; Chordata; Aves; Galliformes; Numididae. The record is from RNAcentral.
AUCCUUCAGUGAGGAGCAGAGAUCUUGGGAAAGGGCAAGAAGUAAAGAUAGAAGUCUGUGCUGUGAGGAAAUCUGCUGCAGUCUGCUGAGGAUCUGUUGUAGCUG